UACAGAGGGGGCAAGCGUUGUUCGGAAUUACUGGGCGUAAAGGGCGCGUAGGCGGCCUGUUAAGUCGAACGUGAAAUCCCCGGGCUCAACCCGGGAACUGCGUCCGAUACUGGCAGGCUUGAAUCCGGGAGAGGGAUGCGGAAUUCCAGGUGUAGCGGUGAAAUGCGUAGAUAUCUGGAGGAACACCGGUGGCGAAGGCGGCAUCCUGGACCGGCAUUGACGCUGAGGUGCGAAAGCGUGGGGAGCAAACAGG
This 253-nucleotide ribosomal RNA is filed under the name uncultured bacterium. Its description in RNAcentral is "partial 16S ribosomal RNA". It matches the Rfam family "Bacterial small subunit ribosomal RNA", at positions 524 to 776 of the family's 1533-position model. The record is from RNAcentral.